AUUACAGGCGUGAGCCACCAUGCCCGGCUGGAAAUCAGCUUUUUGAUUUUGCUAUUUCCAAGUGAGAUCUGAAGUGAGGCCCACAACCUCUCUGGCCCUUAGUCUUCCCCAGAAUCAAACAAUUUAGUCUCUGCACUUCCUUCUGGCUCUGGCCAGGGUCCUAAAGCUGCUCCUGCCCUUCCUAAGGCCAGUGGGUAUGGGUCAUCAGCUUCGUAAAACCUUUCUGCCUGGUGCCAGCACCUCCAGGGCUACAAUCAGCCUUGGUAUUUAACACCUGGACUUCCCUCCCCAGCAGGCCUGGAACUGAAAAGCAAGCAAACGCGUGCAAACCUUUUAUUUCUUCCACCUGUGACCUGGGAUCCUGAAAGCUGUGGAAUCCCGACAAGGCUCACCUGUCCCGGUGUCCAGGUCUUCCAGGCAGGACGGGCCUCCAUCAGACCUGUUCACAGGUCUGGCUGGUUCUCCCGAGCUGGGUCCGUCAUCAGGAUCUUUAAAGAAAAUCAAUGAAUGAAGCAAAAUGAGAGGACAGAGGGCUGCUGACUUAGUGCUGGGAAAAGCUGGCAUUCUUUCAAGCCUUGGGAUACAGCUGUGAACAAGACAGACAAAACUGCCUGCCCUCCUGGGAAGAGCCAGACCGUGGCCCAGGCAGGAAGUAAAUCAGAGGUCAGAUGGGCUCAGCGCUAUGGAGGAAAAACAGGUGAGGAAUCUGAGCCUCAGAGAGGGAGUGGGCUUUGUCCGGCAUCAUGACAGCGGAAGCCCACAGGCUAGGAUUUGAACCCAGCUCCUGAAGACGCCAGGGCCUUGCGCCUGUCCGCUAGCCAUUCCAGCCUGCUUCACAGCCACGCCUCCUGGCCCCUGCUCCAGGGCUCCACGACUACUGAUUAAAAGAACAGCUUUACCAUCUGGUUUAACCUGA
This is a non-coding RNA of Macaca mulatta (Rhesus monkey), 916 nucleotides long. NCBI's taxonomy places the organism in Eukaryota, Metazoa, Chordata, Mammalia, Primates, Cercopithecidae. The record is from RefSeq and is a predicted model, not a curated record.